This 505-nucleotide ribosomal RNA is filed under the name uncultured Glomus. RNAcentral's name for it is "SSU rRNA". It matches the Rfam family "Eukaryotic small subunit ribosomal RNA", at positions 569 to 1078 of the family's 1831-position model. The record is from RNAcentral. Lineage: Eukaryota; Fungi; Glomeromycota; Glomeromycetes; Glomerales; Glomeraceae.
AGCAGCCGCGGUAAUUCCAGCUCCAAUAGCGUAUAUUAAAGUUGUUGCAGUUAAAAAGCUCGUAGUUGAAUUUCGGGAUCAAUACGUCGGUCGUGCUUCGGUACGUACUGGCGUCAUUGAUUUCUCCCUUCUGACGAACCAUGAUGUCAUUAACUUGGUGUCAUGGGAAAUCAGGACUGUUACUUUGAAAAAGUUAGAGUGUUUAAAGCAGGCUCACGCUUGAAUACAUUAGCAUGGAAUAAUGAAAUAGGACGUUCGAUCCUAUUUUGUUGGUUUUUAGGAUCAACGUAAUGAUUAAUAGGGAUAGUUGGGGGCAUUAGUAUUCAAUUGUCAGAGGUGAAAUUCUUGGAUUUAUUGAAGACUAACUACUGCGAAAGCAUUUGCCAAGGAUGUUUUCAUUAAUCAAGAACGAAAGUUAGGGGAUCGAAGACGAUCAGAUACCGUCGUAGUCUUAACCAUAAACUAUGCCGACUAGGGAUCGGAUGAUGUUAAUUUUUAAUGUACU